This 496-nucleotide ribosomal RNA is filed under the name uncultured bacterium. RNAcentral's name for it is "partial 16S ribosomal RNA". It matches the Rfam family "Bacterial small subunit ribosomal RNA", at positions 28 to 507 of the family's 1533-position model. The record is from RNAcentral.
GAUGAACGCUGGCGGCGUGCCUAAUACAUGCGAGUCGAGCGAACGGACGAGAAGCUUGCUUCUCUGAUGUUAGCGGCGGACGGGUGAGUAACACGUGGAUAACCUACCUAUAAGACUGGGAUAACUUCGGGAAACCGGAGCUAAUACCGGAUAAUAUUUUGAACCGCAUGGUUCAAAAGUGAAAGACGGUCUUGCUGUCACUUAUAGAUGGAUCCGCGCUGCAUUAGCUAGUUGGUAAGGUAACGGCUUACCAAGGCAACGAUGCAUAGCCGACCUGAGAGGUUGAUCGGCACACUGGAACUGAGACACGGUCCAGACUCCUACGGGAGGCAGCAGUAGGGAAUCUUCCGCAAUGGGCGAAAGCCUGACGGAGCAACGCCGCGUGAGUGAUGAAGGUCUUCGGAUCGUAAAACUCUGUUAUUAGGGAAGAACAUAUGUGUAAGUAACUGUGCACAUCUUGACGGUACCUAAUCAGAAAGCCACGGCUAACUACGUG